This 484-nucleotide ribosomal RNA is filed under the name uncultured bacterium. Its description in RNAcentral is "partial 16S ribosomal RNA". It matches the Rfam family "Bacterial small subunit ribosomal RNA", at positions 30 to 507 of the family's 1533-position model. The record is from RNAcentral.
AUUGAACGCUGGCGGCAGGCCUAACACAUGCAAGUCGAGCGGAUGAAGGGAGCUUGCUCCUGGAUUCAGCGGCGGACGGGUGAGUAAUGCCUAGGAAUCUGCCUGGUAGUGGGGGAUAACGUCCGGAAACGGGCGCUAAUACCGCAUACGUCCUGAGGGAGAAAGUGGGGGAUCUUCGGACCUCACGCUAUCAGAUGAGCCUAGGUCGGAUUAGCUAGUUGGUGGGGUAAAGGCCUACCAAGGCGACGAUCCGUAACUGGUCUGAGAGGAUGAUCAGUCACACUGGAACUGAGACACGGUCCAGACUCCUACGGGAGGCAGCAGUGGGGAAUAUUGGACGAUGGGCGAAAGCCUGAUCCAGCCAUGCCGCGGGUGUGAAGAAGGUCUUCGGAUUUUAAAGCACUUUAAGUUGGGAGAAAGGACAGUAAGUUAAUACCUUGCUGUCUUGACGUUACCAAAAGAAUAAGCACCGGCUAACUUCGUG